ACAUUUACAUGUCUUUUAAACCGAUUUUUUUUUAUUAUGACGUGUCCAAGACAUUUAGCACCAUUUAAGAGGAGCAGCGCUGAAACACAGAAUUGAAAUUGCUUGAUAACACAUCUGCAUUUUAAACUUUAAGCUUGCUUUCAAAUACACUGUACCAUCCGUGUUUACUAUAAAUACAGAGAGGUACGGUGAAGAAAUUGGGGAAAAGCAUGUACAAUGGAAAUGAAAAAUGAACAAAAUGCAUGAGGGGGUUUCUUGAGUUGGAGGAGAGCAAUAUUGGAAGAAUGUUGGAAGACAAGGCAAUUCUGGGCAGAGUGCAUGGUCUAUGGAAGAGCAGAUGUCACAGCUCUUUCCAGAAGAACCUCAGGCAUCACUGGUGAGGAUGGGCUGGAGUAGAACUCAUUCAGUCCACCGCAGGUAACGAAGGAACCUUCACCAACCUGCAACCCUGUUCACAUAACUGCAGGCACCCUGGGCACCACUGGCCAGGCCGCCACUUCCUAAAGCCCAAGUAAAUGUAUUUCCUGUACCAUGAAAGCCCUAGAGAGGGAGGAGAAGAUUAAAUAUAGCUUGUUUUUCAUUUGCCGUUUUAUUUGAAAUUGUCAAUUUUAUAUUACUGCUAAGCCAUGAAAGUGUUUUCGAUUGUGUGUUUUUUAAAAAGCCAUGUUAUAUCUGCAAAAUAUUUUUCAUACAAAUCCUUAUUACUUUCAACCAAUGAUGACCCGUUUGGUUAA
RNAcentral lists this long non-coding RNA (734 nucleotides) under Sus scrofa (pig). RNAcentral describes it as "lncRNA (ENSSSCG00050047447.1)". The record is from RNAcentral. Lineage: Eukaryota; Metazoa; Chordata; Mammalia; Artiodactyla; Suidae.